Molecule: ribosomal RNA, 253 nt
Filed under: uncultured bacterium
Lineage: Bacteria
Description: partial 16S ribosomal RNA
Rfam family: Bacterial small subunit ribosomal RNA
Source: RNAcentral
UACGGGGGGGGCAAGCGUUGUUCGGAAUUACUGGGCGUAAAGGGUGCGUAGGCGGUUGUUUAAGUCUGUUGUGAAAUCCCCGGGCUCAACCUGGGAAUGGCAAUGGAUACUGGGCAGCUAGAGUGUGUCAGAGGAUGGUGGAAUUCCCGGUGUAGCGGUGAAAUGCGUAGAUAUCAGGAGGAACACCUGUGGUGUAGACGGCUUACUGGACCGCAACUGACGCUGAGACACGAAAGCGUGGGUAGCAAACAGG